This 276-nucleotide ribosomal RNA is filed under the name uncultured bacterium. RNAcentral describes it as "partial 16S ribosomal RNA". It matches the Rfam family "Bacterial small subunit ribosomal RNA", at positions 82 to 354 of the family's 1533-position model. The record is from RNAcentral.
CCGUUGCCGGCGACCGGCGCACGGGUGAGUAACACGUAUGCAACCUGCCCGUGGCAGGGGGAUAAGCGGGGGAAACCCCGUCUAAUACCGCGUAACGCGGCCUUGGGGCAUCCCAAGGCCGCCAAAGGGAGCAAUCCCGGUCACGGAUGGGCAUGCGGCGCAUUAGCUAGUCGGCGGGGUAACGGCCCACCGAGGCGACGAUGCGUAGGGGUUCUGAGAGGAAGGCCCCCCACACUGGUACUGAGACACGGACCAGACUCCUACGGAAGGCAGCAG